UCCAUCGUGUGAAGAUGGAGCAGUCAUGGCUCUCCUUGACGUUGCACUUCUUCCCAUCGCCGUUGGGCCACGGGCGGCGGUAGGCCACGGGCAGCGGUGGGACACUAGCACCGAACGAAUCGCUAGGGGCGCACGGGCGUGGUGGCGGUAGGACACGGGAGUCACGAUCAAAGGGUAGGGAGAGACGGACACCUCAAGGGAUUUGAAAAAGUGGCUAGCGGUGGGGGGCUUAACUGCAAAAUAAUCCCACCUCUAACCCUAUCUAUGGAUUAGCAUCUUGUAGCCUUGAUUUAUAGUUUUCAAGGUUG
RNAcentral lists this long non-coding RNA (308 nucleotides) under Setaria viridis. Its description in RNAcentral is "long non-coding RNA (SVIR_LNC001843)". Lineage: Eukaryota; Viridiplantae; Streptophyta; Magnoliopsida; Poales; Poaceae. The record is from RNAcentral.